Molecule: long non-coding RNA, 1241 nt
Filed under: Setaria italica (foxtail millet)
Lineage: Eukaryota; Viridiplantae; Streptophyta; Magnoliopsida; Poales; Poaceae
Description: long non-coding RNA (SITA_LNC001313)
Source: RNAcentral
GAAACUCAGCCUGUUCUUGAUCCUCUCAUGUAAGAAGUUUGAUUCUUGCUUUACAUAAAUGAGUAGCCGGACCUUACAAGACUGAAUAUCCUUUCACUGUCAACACUGCUCUUUGUUUGAUCCCACUUGUCUUGGUCUGACAAUCGAUUUUGUAUUGCCUACUUAGUGCUUAGCAUGUAAAACAAUUGCCACUGUUGAUGUGUGUAGAUAUAGUUCAAAAACCAAAAAUUCUGAAAAUGCAGCUGCUAUGGUUAGUCCUGAAAUUUUUCUGAAAAUGCAGCUGCUACACUAUAAUGGCAUCUUUCCAAAAAUUAAAAGGAUAAUAAAAUAAGCUGCCAUCCUCAUUAUGUCAGUUACAAAUGAGCUGUUAUGUAUGAGGUUCUCAUGAAUUGAAAAAAAUAUUUUUCUGUUAUGUAUAUUUUGUGUAUUUGAAGCUAUUAUUUUGAACUAUUCUUUGUAUAUGCAGAAAGAUACCGGGUUAUAGGUUAGACCUUACUAAAUUCGAAACGUGUUUGCUAGCUGAAGGACAAAGUGAUGCUGAAGUCAAUUGCCUUUGUGUUUAGUUUCUGGAGCAUAGUGCAUACUAUAUUAGACAAAGUUAUUCUUCUCUAUGCUACUACGGAAAAGAUAUGAAGAUUUGCUUUCAGGUAUUAAAAUUCUAUGUUGCACAAUAGGCAAUGCAUGUAUAUGUUAGCUCUAACCAUUUGCCAGAGAAGAUGGCAACCGGUGGUGGAGAGGAGCAGGGCGGCCCAGUUGGAGGCGAGGCAGUGGUGAUGGCAGGACAGAGUAUGAUUAUGUAGUCAGUGGGGGAGCUUGUAGAAAAAUGAGGGGUCCAAUAACAAAGGAGAUUAGCAUACAUAGUGUUUAAGCAGUCAAAUUAGCUAUUCCUUCAACAAAUUUUGGAGGUUAGGGGGGCUAUGGCCCACCUUGGCCACAAUGAAGCUCCGUCACUGGAUGUAGUAGAGAGUUGAUGAGUUGAUUCUUUGAUAACAUGACCCGAACGAAUGAGUUGUCCCUUGAACUUGGUUGGUUUUGCUCAUCAGAGCUCAUUUGUCCUGCAACCGUGAUAUACUCAGGUAGCUGCUUGUGUAUACUGCGUUUUGUGUUCAUCACACAGUCAUGUAAGAUGUUUGUGGUAUUGUUUUCUAUACCGUGGACUUAACCAGGCUGCCCGAAAGCUGAAACAAAGAAAAGUGAGAAUAUUUUUUUUAAAAUUGUGAACAUGAUGCAUGAAAGACUAU